AAGGGAGAUGAAAAUGGUGGUUAUUGCUAUUAAUCGCGACGGUCGGAGAUGGGUUUUGCCGCUAUUACUAUUAGCCACGGUGGUCAAGAUGACGAUCUUGCAAAGUGCCUCAGAAUACUCACACGGCAUGUGGUCAUAACACUAAUGGCUGCAGUCAUGGGAUGAUUGAUUUUUGGUUAUGAUAGUGGUAUAAUGGGUAUAUGAUUUUGCCUUUUAUAUAUUUCUUUUAAUUUUAUUUCAUUACAUAAUAUGAUUGCUUGAAUCUGUAAUAAUUUUUCAUGCUUUUAUUAAAAAAAAAAGGUUGAACCCCAACUUUAAGGACCUCACGACCCGCCCCUAGAGUUUUGUGAUGGAGGUAAAUCGCGGGACGUGC
This 373-nucleotide long non-coding RNA is filed under the name Olea europaea (common olive). RNAcentral describes it as "long non-coding RNA (OEUR_LNC013114)". The record is from RNAcentral. Lineage: Eukaryota; Viridiplantae; Streptophyta; Magnoliopsida; Lamiales; Oleaceae.